Molecule: non-coding RNA, 114 nt
Organism: Acanthosepion pharaonis
Lineage: Eukaryota; Metazoa; Mollusca; Cephalopoda; Sepiida; Sepiidae
Source: the annotation of a GenBank genome assembly
UUACGGCCAUCUCAUGUUGGAACACCGUUUCUCGUCCGAUAACCGAAGUAAAGCAACAUCGAGCUUUGUCAGUACCUAGAUGUGCAACCCCUUGGAAAUUUAAAGUGUUGUAAG